This 465-nucleotide ribosomal RNA is filed under the name uncultured Klebsiella sp. RNAcentral's name for it is "bacterial SSU rRNA". It matches the Rfam family "Bacterial small subunit ribosomal RNA", at positions 338 to 795 of the family's 1533-position model. The record is from RNAcentral. Lineage: Bacteria; Pseudomonadati; Pseudomonadota; Gammaproteobacteria; Enterobacterales; Enterobacteriaceae.
CCUACGGGUGGCAGCAGUGGGGAAUAUUGCACAAUGGGCGCAAGCCUGGUGCAGACAUGCCGCGUGUGUGAAGAAGGCCUUCGGGUUGUAAAGCACUUUCAGCGGGGAGGAAGGCGGUGAGGUUAAUAACCUCAUCGAUUGACGUUACCCGCAGAAGAAGCACCGGCUAACUCCGUGCCAGCAGCCGCGGUAAUACGGAGGGUGCAAGCGUUAAUCGGAAUUACUGGGCGUAAAGCGCACGCAGGCGGUCUGUCAAGUCGGAUGUGAAAUCCCCGGGCUCAACCUGGGAACUGCAUUCGAAACUGGCAGGCUAGAGUCUUGUAGAGGGGGGUAGAAUUCCAGGUGUAGCGGUGAAAUGCGUAGAGAUCUGGAGGAAUACCGGUGGCGAAGGCGGCCCCCUGGACAAAGACUGACGCUCAGGUGCGAAAGCGUGGGGAGCAAACAGGAUUAGAUACCCCAGUAGUC